GACGAACGCUGGCGGCGUGCCUAAUACAUGCCAGUAGAACGCUGAAGAGAGGAGCUUGCUCUUCUUGGAUGAGUUGCGAACGGGCGAGUAACGCGUAGGUAACCUGCCUUGUAGCGGGGGAUAACUAUUGGAAACGAUAGCUAAUACCGCAUAACAAUGGAUGACACAUGUCAUUUAUUUGAAAGGGGCAAUUGCUCCACUACAAGAUGGACCUGCGUUGUAUUAGCUAGUAGGUGAGGUAAUGGCUCACCUAGGCGACGAUACAUAGCCGACCUGAGAGGGUGAUCGGCCACACUGGGACUGAGACACGGCCCAGACUCCUACGGGAGGCAGCAGUAGGGAAUCUUCGGCAAUGGGGGCAACCCUGACCGAGCAACGCCGCGUGAGUGAAGAAGGUUUUCGGAUCGUAAAGCUCUGUUGUAAGUCAAGAACGGGUGUGAGAGUGGAAAGUUCACACUGUGACGGUAGCUUACCAGAAAGGGACGGCUAACUACGUG
Molecule: ribosomal RNA, 497 nt
Filed under: uncultured bacterium
Lineage: Bacteria
Description: partial 16S ribosomal RNA
Rfam family: Bacterial small subunit ribosomal RNA
Source: RNAcentral